GGCUCAGAAUCAACGCUGGCGGCGCGCUUAACACAUGCAAGUCGCACGAGAAAGCAGGGGUAACCUUGUGAGUAAAGUGGCGUACGGGUGAGUAACACGUGGAUGAUCUACCCUCAGGUGGGGAAUAACCCUGGGAAACCGGGGCUAAUACCGCAUACGCUCGGGAGAGGAAAGCCGAAAGGCGCCGGAGGAGGAGUCCGCGGCCGAUUAGCUAGUUGGUAGGGUAAAAGCCUACCAAGGCUGAGAUCGGUAGCCGGCCUGAGAGGGCACACGGCCACACUGGCACUGAAAUACGGGCCAGACUCCUACGGGAGGCAGCAGUGGGGAAUCUUGCACAAUGGGGGAAACCCUGAUGCAGCGACGCCGCGUGAGCGAUGAAGCCCUUCGGGGUGUAAAGCUCUUUCGGUGGGGAAGAAGAAAGACGGUACCCGCAGAAGCAGCUGCGGCUAACUACGUGCCAGCAGCCGCGGUAAUACGUAGGCAGCGAGCGUUGUUCGGAGUUACUGGGCGUAAAGGGUGUGUAGGCGGUCCUCCGUGUCUGGUGUGAAAUCUCCCGGCUUAACUGGGAGGGUGCGCCGGAAACUGGAAGGCUUGGAGUGCGGGAUGGGAGAGUGGAAUUCCUGGUGUAGCGGUGAAAUGCGUAGAUAUCAGGAGGAACACCGGUGGUGUAGACGGCUCUCUGGACCGUAACUGACGCUGAGACACGAAAGCGUGGGUAGCAAACAGGAUUAGAUACCCUGGUAGUCCACGCCCUAAACGAUGCACAUUUGGUGUAGGUCAUUCAUUUGAUCUGUGCCGGAGCUAACGCGUUAAAUGUGCCGCCUGGGGAGUA
This 832-nucleotide ribosomal RNA is filed under the name uncultured bacterium. Its description in RNAcentral is "bacterial SSU rRNA". It matches the Rfam family "Bacterial small subunit ribosomal RNA", at positions 21 to 882 of the family's 1533-position model. The record is from RNAcentral.